CCUAAUACAUGCAAGUCGAGCGGACAGAAGGGAGCUUGCUCCCGGAUGUUAGCGGCGGACGGGUGAGUAACACGUGGGUAACCUGCCUGUAAGACUGGGAUAACUCCGGGAAACCGGAGCUAAUACCGGAUAGUUCCUUGAACCGCAUGGUUCAAGGAUGAAAGACGGUUUCGGCUGUCACUUACAGAUGGACCCGCGGCGCAUUAGCUAGUUGGUGAGGUAACGGCUCACCAAGGCGACGAUGCGUAGCCGACCUGAGAGGGUGAUCGGCCACACUGGGACUGAGACACGGCCCAGACUCCUACGGGAGGCAGCAGUAGGGAAUCUUCCGCAAUGGACGAAAGUCUGACGGAGCAACGCCGCGUGAGUGAUGAAGGUUUUCGGAUCGUAAAGCUCUGUUGUUAGGGAAGAACAAGUGCAAGAGUAACUGCUUGCACCUUGACGGUACCUAACCAGAAAGCCACGGCUAACUACGUGCCAGCAGCCGCGGUAAUACGUAGGUGGCAAGCGUUGUCCGGAAUUAUUGGGCGUAAAGGGCUCGCAGGCGGUUUCUUAAGUCUGAUGUGAAAGCCCCCGGCUCAACCGGGGAGGGUCAUUGGAAACUGGGAAACUUGAGUGCAGAAGAGGAGAGUGGAAUUCCACGUGUAGCGGUGAAAUGCGUAGAGAUGUGGAGGAACACCAGUGGCGAAGGCGACUCUCUGGUCUGUAACUGACGCUGAGGAGCGAAAGCGUGGGGAGCGAACAGGAUUAGAUACCCUGGUAGUCCACGCCGUAAACGAUGAGUGCUAAGUGUUAGGGGGUUUCCGCCCCUUAGUGCUGCAGCUAACGCAUUAAGCACUCCGCCUGGGGAGUACGGUCGCAAGACUGAAACUCAAAGGAAUUGACGGGGGCCCGCACAAGCGGUGGAGCAUGUGGUUUAAUUCGAAGCAACGCGAAGAACCUUACCAGGUCUUGACAUCCUCUGACAACCCUAGAGAUAGGGCUUUCCCUUCGGGGACAGAGUGACAGGUGGUGCAUGGUUGUCGUCAGCUCGUGUCGUGAGAUGUUGGGUUAAGUCCCGCAACGAGCGCAACCCUUGAUCUUAGUUGCCAGCAUUCAGUUGGG
This 1104-nucleotide ribosomal RNA is filed under the name Bacillus pumilus. RNAcentral describes it as "bacterial SSU rRNA". It matches the Rfam family "Bacterial small subunit ribosomal RNA", at positions 47 to 1135 of the family's 1533-position model. Lineage: Bacteria; Bacillati; Bacillota; Bacilli; Caryophanales; Bacillaceae. The record is from RNAcentral.